Long non-coding RNA from Mercurialis annua (annual mercury), 559 nucleotides. RefSeq lists it as uncharacterized. The transcript is spliced from 2 exons. NCBI's taxonomy places the organism in Eukaryota, Viridiplantae, Streptophyta, Magnoliopsida, Malpighiales, Euphorbiaceae. The record is from RefSeq and is a predicted model, not a curated record.
UCAGAUGGUUUCACAUUAAAUAACCUAUUUGACAAAAUUAUUAUAUUUUAUACCCAUUUUUAUUUCCAACGUGUUUUCUUCCAUUAUUUCUCCGCUCCACAAAACUUCAACUUAAAAGUUAAAAUUAUACCUGUUUUAUUGAACCUGUGAGUUUGUUAUUAUCAUCAAUCAGCGGUGGAGGCGGCAGUGGUGGAGAUGGUAGAGACGACAGUGGCGGUGCUAAAAAGUAUACAGGUGCAGAAAAAAAAUGUUCAUGUUCUUCUUCGAAACCAAGUUCCUUGAUUGGGUUUCUCAGAAGGGAUUUGGUACUUUUUGGUUUAUCUUCUUCAUCUCUUGCAUUUCCAUCUUCAGGGCCCUUUGCGGGAAGAUCGAAAAAUGAAUUAAUAGUUGAUGAAACUAUGCUUAUACUUACAUAUCUUGGUGGGUAUGUAGGUGAAAUGACACUAUUAUUGAUGAAUAUUUGAGUCCCUUUCAUAAUAGCUCAAUGGCAAAAACUUAAAAGACAGACUGUAAUUUACAAGUACAAGCAAACUAUAAUUGAUUCAAAUUUUUUUCUAUA